This 460-nucleotide ribosomal RNA is filed under the name uncultured bacterium. RNAcentral's name for it is "partial 16S ribosomal RNA". It matches the Rfam family "Bacterial small subunit ribosomal RNA", at positions 338 to 795 of the family's 1533-position model. The record is from RNAcentral.
CCUACGGGACGCUGCAGUGAGGAAUAUUGGUCAAUGGACGAGAGUCUGAACCAGCCAAGUAGCGUGAAGGAUGACUGCCCUAUGGGUUGUAAACUUCUUUUAUAAAGGAAUAAAACGAGGCACGUGUGCCUUUUUGCAUGUACUUUAUGAAUAAGGAUCGGCCAACUCCGUGCCAGCAGCCGCGGUAAUACGGAGGAUGCGAGCGUUAUCCGGAUUUAUUGGGUUUAAAGGGAGCGUAAAUGGGUUGUUAAGUCAGUUGUGAAAGUUUGCGGCUCAACCGUUAAAUUGCAAUUGAUACUGGCAGUCUUGAGUACAGUUGAGGUAGGCGGAAUACGUGGUGUAGCGGUGAAAUGCUUAGAUAUCACGAAGAACCCCGAUUGCGAAGGCAGCUUACUAAACUGUGACUGACAUUGAUGCUCGAGAGUGUGGGUAGCAAACAGGAUUAGAUACCCUUGUAGUC